UGGUUUUGGACCCGUGUCUGCCGGUAGAUCCCCCGUUUUUGUGCGGCCGACUACCGGCGCCGUGUCCCGUCGUUUCUGUGGCUUUGUGUUACCGUUGCCUUUCAAGUGCUUGCGUGCUGGUACCCGAACUAAGGGAAUUGGUGCUACGAACAUGUUGCCUCGCGGUGGACGCCUUCGGGCGUGCUGCUGCGGCCAAAUGGCGCUUGCGGCGUUGCCUCGUUACGCUGCCACGUUUACGUGGUUGCUGUUAUCAAGGCAACCUCGCUCCUGCUGUUGGUCUCGGAUGUUGCCCACGAUGAAGUCUCAUGGCCCUUUUUGGUUGCCUAGACCCGACCCUAAGAAGCUCUCCGAAUUGAGAACAACCGGAACAUGUGUUGCCGCUACGUAUUCCGCAGUUAGUGGUAUGAUACGCAACAUUUUGCGCCGAUCCUCAAAUAAGUAGGACGAGCUUAGCCCGCUCAAUUGUGACAUCUGGCUCGGGGACUGCUUCUGGCUUGACACGCAAGUGGACGGACGGACGACUCCCGACGCUGGACGUCAACAAGGA
Molecule: unclassified non-coding RNA, 547 nt
Filed under: Puccinellia lemmonii
Lineage: Eukaryota; Viridiplantae; Streptophyta; Magnoliopsida; Poales; Poaceae
Description: partial external transcribed spacer
Source: RNAcentral